Molecule: transfer RNA, 86 nt
Filed under: Yarrowia lipolytica
Lineage: Eukaryota; Fungi; Ascomycota; Dipodascomycetes; Dipodascales
Also listed under: 1 other name
Description: tRNA-Trp
Rfam family: tRNA
About the family: Transfer RNA (tRNA) molecules are approximately 80 nucleotides in length. Their secondary structure includes four short double-helical elements and three loops (D, anti-codon, and T loops).
Source: RNAcentral
GAUGUGGUGGCUCAAUGGUAGAGCUUUCGACUCCAGCAAUUCUUGUUGUAAUCGAAGGGUUGCAGGUUCAAUUCCUGUCCAUGUCA